This 468-nucleotide ribosomal RNA is filed under the name uncultured bacterium. RNAcentral's name for it is "partial 16S ribosomal RNA". It matches the Rfam family "Bacterial small subunit ribosomal RNA", at positions 28 to 507 of the family's 1533-position model. The record is from RNAcentral.
GACGAACGCUGGCGGCGUGCUUAACACAUGCAAGUCGAACGGAAAGGCCCUGCUUUUGUGGGGUGCUCGAGUGGCGAACGGGUGAGUAACACGUGAGUAACCUGCCCUUGACUUUGGGAUAACUUCAGGAAACUGGGGCUAAUACCGGAUAGGAGCUCCUGCUGCAUGGGGGGGGUUGGAAAGUUUCGGCGGUUGGGGAUGGACUCGCGGCUUAUCAGCUUGUUGGUGGGGUAGUGGCUUACCAAGGCUUUGACGGGUAGCCGGCCUGAGAGGGUGACCGGCCACAUUGGGACUGAGGUACGGCCCAGAAUCCUACGGGAGGCAGCAGUGGGGAAUAUUGCACAAUGGGCGGAAGCCUGAUGCAGCAACGCCGCGUGCGGGAUGACGGCCUUCGGGUUGUAAACCGCUGUCGCCUGUGACGAAGCGUGAGUGACGGUAAUGGGUAAAGAAGCACCGGCUAACUACGUG